UAAUAGGUUGAUUCAGACCUUUACAAUUCCAGCUACAGAACUUAAACGAGUGACCUGCUUGUUGAUUAUUAGUAUUUAAUUGCGAUACCAUGUUAGAACAUAGGUUGAAAAAAACCAAAGCUGACCAAUGAAAAACACAGAAAAAACAAAGUCAGUGAACAGAACAGUACAACAUAAAAAACAAAGAACACCCAAACUUCCCCCUAAAUGCUGAAGCAUCUUCCCUAACAAGAUGCGCGCACCCCCCACCAAACACACCCUGAGCACUUUCUCCCAACCAUUCGAAGUCCCAGUUGAGUUCAAGCUCCUUGCAAUACAAGGCAGAGACAAAUCAAGGAUUGUAUGAAAAUUUAUUAGAACAAGACACAUCCUAUAAAUCAAGCUCACCUCAAAUAAACAUAAGUAUGUUACUUAAAAAAAAAAUACAAUAAGAUACAAUAAAAAAUAAAAAACAGUGAAGAAAGAGAAAAAAAAAUAGAAUAGAAUAUUUCACAGAAAUUAACCAAGAUGGACAUAUCAGCCCAAUGGGCUAAGACACUUAUGUGCCCUGAGAGGCAGGGCCCCCCAGGAUCUUAUUGGCAAAGUCCGUGGCAGACGCAGGAUCAGUAAACUUACGUACAACUCCAUCUGGAAGUGUCACCCUCAGUUCCGCAGGAUAGAACAGGCCGAACUUGAUCCCAGGACAAGAGUGCAGAAGGCGCUUGACCCCAGUAAACUGAACGUUUUUUAGCCACUGCAGGUGUGAAGUCUGGAAAGAUGGAGAUCCUUCUGCCCUGGUAAAGUAGAGGAGAGUUUGCCCCUGCAAGACGUAGCAGCUGUUCCUUGACAUGGAAGUAGUGGACUCUAAUGAGGAGUGGGCGAGGAGGCGCUCCCUCUCUGGGCUUUGGUCCAAGGGACCUGUGAACCCGAUCUAAUAGAGGUGCUUCAUUCAGCUUCAAAAGAUCUUGCAGGAGAUGGGAAAUAAACUCCCUAGGGUUAGAAGUCUCCAAACCCUCGGGGAUGCCAAUAAGACGAAUAUUAUUGCGCCUUGAUCUUCCUUCUAGAUCCUCACAUUUAGCUUGCAGUUGUCUGACCUCCUCCGUUAGGACACUUACAGCACAUUGAAGAGAAGUCAGGUCGUCACUGCAGGUUGUAGCUGAAAGCUCCAAAUCUUUAAUGGUGGUCCCUUGAGCAUUAAC
Astatotilapia calliptera (eastern happy) is the source of this 1178-nucleotide long non-coding RNA. The record is from Ensembl. NCBI's taxonomy places the organism in Eukaryota, Metazoa, Chordata, Actinopteri, Cichliformes, Cichlidae.